RNAcentral lists this ribosomal RNA (1389 nucleotides) under uncultured bacterium. Its description in RNAcentral is "16S ribosomal RNA". It matches the Rfam family "Bacterial small subunit ribosomal RNA". The record is from RNAcentral.
CGGACGGGUGAGUAACACGUGGGUAACCUGCCCUGCACAGGGGGAUAACACCUGGAAACAGGUGCUAAAACCGCAUAAGCGCACAGAGGCGCAUGCCUCAGUGUGAAAAACUCCGGUGGUGCAGGAUGGACCCGCGUCUGAUUAGGCAGUUGGCGGGGUAACGGCCCACCAAACCGACGAUCAGUAGCCGGCCUGAGAGGGUGGACGGCCACAUUGGGACUGAGACACGGCCCAAACUCCUACGGGAAGCAGCAGUGGGGAAUAUGGCGCAAUGGGGGCAACCCCUGACGCAGCAAACGCCGCGUGCAGGAAGAAGGUCUUUCGGAUCGUAAACUGUUGUCGCAAGGGAAGAAGACAGUGACGGUACCUUGUGAGAAAGUCACGGCUAACUACGUGCCAGCAGCCGCGGUAAUACGUAGGUGACAAGCGUUGUCCGGAUUUACUGGGUGUAAAGGGCGCGUAGGCGGACUAUCAAGUCAGUCGUGAAAUACCGGGGCUUAACCCCGGGGCUGCGAUUGAAACUGACAGCCUUGAGUAUCGGAGAGGAAAGCGGAAUUCCCAGUGUAGCGGUGAAAUGCGUAGAUAUUGGGAGGAACACCAGUGGCGAAGGCGGCUUUCUGGACGACAACUGACGCUGAAGCGCGAAAGUGUGGGGAGCAAACAGGAUUAGAUACCCUGGUAGUCCACACCGUAAACGAUGGAUACUAGGUGUAGGAGGUAUCGACUCCUUCUGUGCCGCAGUUAACACAAUAAGUAUCCCACCUGGGGAGUACGACCGCAAGGUUGAAACUCAAAGGAAUUGACGGGGGCCCGCACAAGCAGUGGAGUAUGUGGUUUAACUCGAAGCAACGCGAAGAACCUUACCCAGUCUUGACAUCUGGAUGACAGAGCAUGUAAAGUGCUUUCUCUUCGGAGCAUCCAAGACAGGUGGUGCAUGGUUGUCGUCAGCUCGUGUCGUGAGAUGUUGGGUUAAGUCCCGCAACGAGCGCAACCCUUAUUCCUAGUAGCCAGCGGAUAAAGCCGGGCACUCUAGGGAGACUGCCGGGGAUAACCCGGAGGAAGGUGGGGAUGACGUCAAAUCAUCAUGCCCCUUAUGAUUUGGGCUACACACGUGCUACAAUGGCGUAAACAAAGGGAAGCGAACCUGCGAGGGGGAGCGAAACCCAAAAAUAACGUCCCAGUUCGGACUGCAGUCUGCAACCCGACUGCACGAAGCUGGUAUCGCUAGUAAUCGCGGAUCAGAAUGCCGCGGUGAAUACGUUCCCGGGUCUUGUACACACCGCCCGUCACACCAUGGGAGUCGGAAAUGCCCGAAGUCUGUGACCUAACCGGAAGGGGGGAGCAGUCGAAGGCAGGUCGGAUGACUGGGGUGAAGUCGUAACAAGGUAG